UACGAAGGGUGCAAACGUUUGCUCGGAAUUAUUGGGCGUAAAGCGCACGUAGGCGGCUUGCAAGUUCCAUGUGAAAUCCCACGGCUCAACCGUGGAAGUGCAUGGGAAACUGCAGAGCUUGAGUACUUAAGAGGAUCGCGGAAUUCCCGGUGUAGAGGUGAAAUUCGUAGAUAUCGGGAGGAACACCAGUGGCGAAGGCGGCGAUCUGGGAAGAUACUGACGCUGAGGUGCGAAAGCGUGGGAGCAAACAGG
Molecule: ribosomal RNA, 252 nt
Filed under: uncultured bacterium
Lineage: Bacteria
Description: partial 16S ribosomal RNA
Rfam family: Bacterial small subunit ribosomal RNA
Source: RNAcentral